GUCGGGUACAGUGGUGCAUGCCUGUAGUCCCAGUGACUUGGAAGGCUGAGGCAGGAGGAUUGCAAGUUUGAGGCUAGCCUCUGUAACAUAGCAAGACCCUCUCUCAA
Molecule: small RNA, 107 nt
Filed under: Marmota monax (woodchuck)
Lineage: Eukaryota; Metazoa; Chordata; Mammalia; Rodentia; Sciuridae
Source: RNAcentral